GUAAAAUACGGAUUGUUUACAAAGAAAAAGAGUGUUGUCCUCGAAACUCGAUAACCAUUGUUUAAGACGCAGUCUUGUGAUUAACAGAUCCACUAUGCCUCCAGGAAUAAACAAAUUUUCAAACUCGGAGUCGAAAGUUCCUUUUUUGUAUUUUUUUUUUUUUUUUUUGUGCUUUUCAUGCGACCGUACUUCUUAAGAAAACAUUCAUCGACUUUUCUGGUUUGAUUUUUAAAAACGACGCUUUUUUUCAUUCAAAUAGAUUUAUUUAUUCAGCAUAUACUUUUUAUCAAUCAAUUUACAUGCUGUGCAGAAGAAAAAAAACCCAGAAAAAUCGGUCUAUAUUAUUUCACUCUCUGCACAUGAAAUUAAAAUUGUAAUGAAAAACUGGAACUUGGACCUAAAAUCAAUUCAACAUUUUCGAAAAUAACGAAAGAAAUAUUAUAGAAAGAUGAUUAAGUACCUGAUUUGUAG
Molecule: long non-coding RNA, 471 nt
Filed under: Mytilus galloprovincialis (Mediterranean mussel)
Lineage: Eukaryota; Metazoa; Mollusca; Bivalvia; Mytilida; Mytilidae
Source: RNAcentral